CGCCUCCUGCCAACCUAUAGGAGGUCCAGCCUGCCCGGUGACCUAGUUUAACGGCCGCGGUAUCCUAACCGUGCGAAGGUAGCGUAAUCACCUGUUUUUUAAUUGAAGACCUGUAUGAAAGGCAUCACGAGAAUCGUACUGUCUCCUUUUUCCAAUCAGUGAAACUAAUCUCCCCGUGAAAAAGCGGGGAUAUAAAUACAAGACGAGAAGACCCUCUGGAGCUUAAGAUAAAGUAACGUUUUGUACUCUCUUAUCCCACCUAUUUCUUUAAACACUUACAUUACAAAUCUUCGGUUGGGGCAACCGCGGAGUAAAACUCACCCUCCAAGCUGAAUGGAAUUUUCCUAAACAAAAAGACACAGCUUAAUGUAUCAAUAAAUUGACAUCAUGACCCAAUAUUUUGAUUAUCGAACCAAGUUACCCUAGGGAUAACAGCGCAAUCCACUUCAAGAGUUCAUAUCGACAAGUGGGCUUACGACCUCGAUGUUGGAUCAAGGUAUCCCAGUGGUGCAGCCGCUACUAAUGGUUCGUUUGUUCAACG
This 541-nucleotide ribosomal RNA is filed under the name Eleutherodactylus glamyrus. RNAcentral describes it as "partial 16S ribosomal RNA". It matches the Rfam family "Bacterial large subunit ribosomal RNA", at positions 1817 to 2586 of the family's 2925-position model. Lineage: Eukaryota; Metazoa; Chordata; Amphibia; Anura; Eleutherodactylidae. The record is from RNAcentral.